Molecule: long non-coding RNA, 354 nt
Filed under: Androctonus crassicauda
Lineage: Eukaryota; Metazoa; Arthropoda; Arachnida; Scorpiones; Buthidae
Source: RNAcentral
UGAACUUAUAAUGGUCGAGGAGAUGUGGAAAGUUUCCUUUGGGACACUGUCCAGUUGUAUAGAAGGUGGAGACCAUUGGCAGCCAAUGCUGAGAUAAUUCAAUGUAUGAUUUCUCAGAUGCCAUUAACUAUGAGAGAAUUUUUAGAAAAUAGAAAUUUCCCAACAGUCAACGAAGUUAUUAGAGCCGCCAAACAAUAUUUAUUCCGUCGAAGAAUGGAGCCGCCUCAACUGCAACGUCUGAAUACUACAAGAGAAACAAAUUCUCAGCAAGACAAUGUGGACCGAAAUCGACCAAGAAAUUCAAUGCAAAACCCGCAACGUAUACUGAACAAUAAUAGAGCAUCGACUAUCCAG